AUUGAACGCUGGCGGCAUGCCUUACACGUGCAAGUCGAACGGUAACAGGUCUUCGGAUGCUGACGAGUGGCGAACGGGUGAGUAAUACAUCGGAACGUGCCUAGUAGUGGGGGAUAACUACUCGAAAGAGUGGCUAAUACCGCAUGAGAUCUACGGAUGAAAGCAGGGGAUCGCAAGACCUUGUGCUACUAGAGCGGCCGAUGGCAGAUUAGGUAGUUGGUGGGAUAAAAGCUUACCAAGCCGACGAUCUGUAGCUGGUCUGAGAGGACGGUCAGCCACACUGGGACUGAGACACGGCCCAGACUCCUACGGGAGGCAGCAGUGGGGAAUUUUGGACAAUGGGCGCAAGCCUGAUCCAGCAAUGCCGCGUGCAGGAUGAAGGCCUUCGGGUUGUAAACUGCUUUUGUACGGAACGAAAAGCCCUGGGUUAAUACCCUGGGGUCAUGACGGUACCGUAAGAAUAAGCACCGGCUAACUACGUGCCAGCCGCCGCAGUAA
RNAcentral lists this ribosomal RNA (498 nucleotides) under uncultured bacterium. RNAcentral's name for it is "partial 16S ribosomal RNA". It matches the Rfam family "Bacterial small subunit ribosomal RNA", at positions 30 to 523 of the family's 1533-position model. The record is from RNAcentral.